This 269-nucleotide ribosomal RNA is filed under the name uncultured archaeon. RNAcentral's name for it is "partial 16S ribosomal RNA". It matches the Rfam family "Archaeal small subunit ribosomal RNA", at positions 478 to 747 of the family's 1478-position model. The record is from RNAcentral.
AGCUCUCCGAGUGGUGGGGAUGUUUAUUGGGCCUAAAGCAUUCGUAGCCUGCUUGGCAAGUCCUCCGUUAAAUCCAACGAUUCAAUCGUUGGGCUGCGGGGGAUACUGUCCGGCUAGGGGGCGGGAGAGGCCGACGGUAUCCCCGGGGUAGGGGUGAAAUCCUAUAAUCCCGGGAGGACCACCAGUGGCGAAGGCUGUCGGCUAGAACGUGCUCGACGGUGAGGGAUGAAAGCUGGGGGAGCGAACCGGAUUAGAUACCCGAGUAGUCC